GUGCUCACCUUGGCAGCACAUAUACUAAAAUUGGAACAGUACAGCGAAGAUUAGUAUGGCCCCUGCACAAGGAUGACAUGCAAAUUCGUGAAGCGUUCUGUAUUUUU
Molecule: small nuclear RNA, 107 nt
Organism: Nycticebus coucang (slow loris)
Lineage: Eukaryota; Metazoa; Chordata; Mammalia; Primates; Lorisidae
Source: RefSeq, a predicted model, not a curated record